UUUCCGUAGGUGAACCUGCGGAAGGAUCAUUAUUGUACAACCGAGGUGCGAGGGCUGUCGCUAACCUUUCACAGGUCGUGCACGCCCAAGCACUUUCACGUAUCCAUAUCACCCCUUUGUGCAUCACCGCGUGGGCCCCCCUUUGCAGGAGGGCUUGCGUUUUCACAUAAAAUUUAAUAUUGUGUAGAAUGCCUUUUCAUUAUUUUUGCUGUCAUACGCAAUCAAUACAACUUUCAACAACGGAUCUCUUGGCUCUC
This 257-nucleotide unclassified non-coding RNA is filed under the name soil metagenome. RNAcentral describes it as "partial contains small subunit ribosomal RNA, internal transcribed spacer 1, and 5.8S ribosomal RNA". The record is from RNAcentral.